Molecule: long non-coding RNA, 208 nt
Filed under: Panax ginseng (ginseng)
Lineage: Eukaryota; Viridiplantae; Streptophyta; Magnoliopsida; Apiales; Araliaceae
Description: long non-coding RNA (PGIN_LNC015862)
Source: RNAcentral
ACUCUCUUUCUCUUCCGGAUUUCCCCAAAAUCAAAACCCCAACUCUACCUUACUCCUUUCUCUUCCCGAUUUUCCCAAAAUCAAAACGAAAAGAAGACGAAAAUGGGUUUUAGUUGGUUUACGGAAAGAAGAAAGGAGAGAGUCAGGUGGUGGUCAGUAACGAAGCUGAGAAUUUGAGUUUAUCUGAGGUGAAGGUGGCUUAUAAGGG